Macaca mulatta (Rhesus monkey) is the source of this 142-nucleotide unclassified non-coding RNA. It matches the Rfam family "Metazoan signal recognition particle RNA". Rfam says of the family: The signal recognition particle (SRP) is a universally conserved ribonucleoprotein. It is involved in the co-translational targeting of proteins to membranes. The eukaryotic SRP consists of a 300-nucleotide 7S RNA and six proteins: SRPs 72, 68, 54, 19, 14, and 9. NCBI's taxonomy places the organism in Eukaryota, Metazoa, Chordata, Mammalia, Primates, Cercopithecidae. The record is from Ensembl.
GCUGGGUGUGGUGGCGCGCACCUGUAAUCCCAGCUACUCAGGAGGCUGAGGCAGGAGAAUCACUUGAACCCAGGAGACGGGGUUGCAGUGAGAUUGUGCCAUUGCACCCCAGCCUGAGCAACAAAGUGAGACUUUGUCUCAA